Molecule: ribosomal RNA, 1241 nt
Filed under: metagenome
Description: bacterial LSU rRNA
Rfam family: Bacterial large subunit ribosomal RNA
Source: RNAcentral
UGAAUACGAGAUGCUACGGCAUCGAAGCAGUCUAUGUCAUACUUCCAAGAAAAGCUUGCACUGUCAUAAACAAAUAAUGCCUGUACCAUAACCGACACAGGUGGGUAGGUAGAGUAUACUAAGGGGCGCGAGAUAACUCUCUCUAAGGAACUCGGCAAAAUGACUCCGUAACUUCGGGAGAAGGAGUGCCUUAUUUUAUAAGGUUGCAAUAACAAGAUCCAAGCAACUGUUUACCAAAAACACAGGUCUCCGCUAAGUCGUAAGACGAUGUAUGGGGGCUGACGCCUGCCCAGUGCCAGAAGGUUAAAGAAGUUGGUUAGCAUUAGCGAAGCUGAUAACUGAAGCCCUGGUGAACGGCGGCCGUAACAAUAACGGUCCUAAGGUAGCGAAAUCCCUUGUCGGGUAAGUUCCGACCCGCACGAAAGGCGUGAUGAUUUGGAUACUGUCUCGGAGAGGGGCUCGGUGAAAUAGACUUGUCUGUGAAGAUGCGGACUACCUGCACCAGGACAGAAAGACCCUAUGAAGCUUUACUGUAACUUGAGAUUGAAAUUGGACUUUAUUUGCGCAGUAUAGGUGGGAGACGUUGAAAAUAUUCUUGCGGGAAUAUUGGAGUCAUCAGUGAGAUACCACUCUUAUAAUGUUAGAUUUCUAACUUUGUAUCAUUAUCUGGUCAAAGAACAGUCUCAGGCGGGCAGUUUGACUGGGGCGGUCGCCUCCCAAACGGUAACGGAGGCGCACAAAGGUUUCCUCUGAACGUGUAGAAAUCGUAUCUAGAGUGUAAAGGCAUAAGGAAGCUUGACUGUGAGACCUACAAGUCGAGCAGGGACGAAAGUCGGUCUUAGUGAUCUGACGGUGCUGAGUGGAAAGGCCGUCACUCAACGGAUAAAAGUUACUCUAGGAUAACAGGCUGAUCUCCCCCAAGAGUUCACAUCUACGGGGAGGUUUGGCACCUCGAUGUCGGCUCAUCGCAUCCUGGGGCGGUAGUACGUCCCAAGGGUUGGGCUGUUCGCCCAUGAAAGCGGUACGCGAGCUGGGUUCAGAACGUCGUGAGACAGUUCGGUCCAUAUCCGGUGUAGGCGUUAGAAUAUUGAGAGGAGCCUUCUUUAGUACGAGAGGACCGAGAAGGACAUACCUCUGGUGUACCAGUUAUCGUGCCAACGGUAAACGCUGGGUAGCUAUGUAUGGAGAGGAUAACCGCUGAAAGCAUCUAAGUGGGAAGCCCACCUCAAGAUAAGUAUUCU